UACAGAGGGUGCAAGCGUUGUUCGGAAUUACUGGGCGUAAAGCGCGCGUAGGCGGCUUGUCAAGUCAGGGGUGAAAUCCCACAGCUUAACUGUGGAACUGCCCUUGAAACUGUCAAGCUAGAGUGUCGGAGGGGAUAGCGGAAUUGCUAAUGUAGAGGUGAAAUUCGUAGAUAUUAGCAGGAACACCGGUGGCGAAGGCGGCUAUCUGGACGACAACUGACGCUGAGGCGCGAAAGCGUGGGGAUCAAACAGG
RNAcentral lists this ribosomal RNA (253 nucleotides) under uncultured bacterium. RNAcentral's name for it is "partial 16S ribosomal RNA". It matches the Rfam family "Bacterial small subunit ribosomal RNA", at positions 524 to 776 of the family's 1533-position model. The record is from RNAcentral.